RNAcentral lists this long non-coding RNA (694 nucleotides) under Ursus americanus (American black bear). Its description in RNAcentral is "lncRNA (ENSUAMG00000027652.1)". Lineage: Eukaryota; Metazoa; Chordata; Mammalia; Carnivora; Ursidae. The record is from RNAcentral.
GAUCAAUUGAGCCCAGAGGAGCAGUUGCUGGUUAAGUGUGCUGCAGUCAUUGGUCACUCCUUCCACAUAGAUCUGCUGCAGCACCUCCUGCCUGGUUGGCAUAAGAACAAGCUGCUUCAGGUGCUGAGGGCCCUUGUGGAUAUACAGGUGCUCCGCUGGUUCAACAAGAGUCAAGAGCUUCCUGCCGAGUCAGUCUUAGUGCCUUCCUCUAUCAAAACUAUCAAACACACCAAAGAGGAGGAGAAGAAAAAGUCAGAGGCUGACUCUCCUUUCAGUUUGCAAGAGAAAUUAUCCCUACCUCAGAUGGAGGUGCUAGAAUUCGGAGUGCCGCUAUUACGGGAAGCUGCUUGGGAACUGUGGCCCAAGGCACAGCAGAUAGCCCUGCACCUUGAAUGUGCCUGCUUUCUCCGAGAUUUGGCCUGCCGCUGUGGGAGCUGUGGGGGGGACUUUGUCCCCUUCCACCGUUUUGCCGUCUGUUCUACUAAGAGCUGCAGUGGGACCUCCCGGUUCUGUAGUUACAAAGAUACUGGUUCAGUACUAACACAAGUGAUCACAGACAAAUUGCAGCUGUCUUCUCCCCAAGAUAGUUUUCAGUUCCAGACAAAACCAUUCAGAAGUCGGGAGGCCUUCACAAGUGAACACUGCAGGUAAAUGGAGAUGCUGAGAGUGGGUGUGGGGGGCCAGGAAAUGAGAC